This is a long non-coding RNA of Acyrthosiphon pisum (pea aphid), 1021 nucleotides long. RefSeq lists it as uncharacterized. Lineage: Eukaryota; Metazoa; Arthropoda; Insecta; Hemiptera; Aphididae. The record is from RefSeq and is a predicted model, not a curated record. The transcript has 4 exons.
GGGACUCCGUUUACAUGGUAUUACGCGGAUUGACGUCUUUUUUCAAAAUUAAAUUAUAGUUAGGACUUAGGAUAUUAAAUAGGUACUUUUUAUGAUUUUGACAUAUCAUUUAAUUCCCCUAAUAUUGAUGAGUGUACAAUAAAAUGUCUCUGUCAUUGGUACCUAUUAGGCAUUUAUUGGUAUUAUGAUUGUACUCAAUUUUAAGGAGAAUACUAUACAGAUUAAAGCGCUAGUAUUACAAACAUCACACAGACAUGAAUUGCCACAUGAAGUGAAUGAGGAAUUGGUAAGUCAUUCUUUGAGUAUUAUGCCUUUUACCUGAAGUUGCAAGGCUGGCGCUUCAGAGUGCUGCAAGCAUGUGGUGUCUGUUCUUCUGUUAUUGAACAGAACUCCAAUUGCUGAUUUGGAAUCAUUGUCAUCAACCGAUAUAAAAUAUCAAUGGAUAAAAUUUAGGCAGCCGACAUUAACGCAGUACAAACCAUUACCUGUGGAUACGUAUUGUUGCUAUAAAAAGACUAGUGAAAUGAAUGUUGAUAUUGAUGGAGAGACAGUUAGAUAAAUUCAGACGUACACAAAUAAAUGAAUAAUUAAUGUUGUAAACACUUGUAUUAACAACAUUGUUCAAUGGUUAUUGUGUCAGGCAAUCAUCACAUCUGAACCAAUUUUCUGUUUUAACCAUUUUGUGUUUGUAUCCUUUAUAUAUCAUCAAUAGUUUAACCUAGUUACAUUGUACUUAUUGACUAUGAGCAUAGGCGCAAUUAGGGGGAACUUAGGGGAUUAGCCUCCCCACAGUUUUAUCUGUAGCCCCAGUUAUUUUAACUUUUUUUUACUAUAAAAUCAUGGUUUGUACUGUCAACUUCUCUAAUUACGCCUAUGGUUAUUAGUAAAAUUAUACCUACUAUUUGUUAUGUUGUACUAGUCUAGUUAAUUAUCUAGUUGAUGCGUGUUUUAUGUUAUUACUUAGCUUAGUGAAUACUGUAUGGUUAUGGAUUUUACUAAUUACAUAUGAUUGUUUUCUUAA